CCUCCCUUCUAGCCGCUGCGCUGUUGCGUUCUCAGACAACUACGGCUCAGCGAGUGCCCCCCUUAAACGGUGAUAAAAGGAAGGGAGAAAGCGAAUAAGACUAACGACAACGAAGUGAAAGUCCACAGACAUGUCUUCUUAUUUUAAGAAGAAAAUAACAGCAGAAGGAGAUAAAGAGAUGACAGGGGAGCAACAGAGAACGAAGGAGGAGGAGGAGGAGGAGAAAGAGGGGGUGGAUGGAGAUAUAUGCCAGUCAAGACUAGAACGGCCCAAGCAGCCACAACUAAAAAUCUCGAACCUGUCAAGGGGACAGAAGAAGAUGCUUUUCUAAAGACUGGUACAACACAUAUAAAUGGCUUGAACUGAGUCUGGUAACCAGAGAUGGAUCCUAUGGAUCUUUGCUGGGAAGUUAUUUUUGUAAAAGUAAUUAUUUUUGUUUCAGACUAAGUAAAGGUAUAACUGUUUCUUACACAUACAGUAUAACCUUGUAGUCAAAAUAUGACUGUUGUUCCCUGUUUUCCCUGAAAUUGCUGUUACAUGAAAUAUGUGCUUAUUCCUAUAAUAUUUUGUCCUUGCUUUCCAAAAGCUUUCAAAUAUGACUUAGUCAAUUAUACAAUGAGGCUAACGAUGUGCAAGAUAAAUAAAUGAUUUACUUGUGUAUUUAAUAGUUCAUAUGUAAGAAAGGUAAAUCCAUAACCUGUUUGUUAAAUAUUUCAUACGCAAGCACUGUAACAGCAAAAAUGUCUUGGUUACUGUAAGACUUAAGAAAAUUACUUUUUUAUUGGUUCAUGCCACAAUUUGAUGUGUUUUUUUUUGUGACUGUCUGUUUUUGAACUUUAAAUAAAGUACAUUUGUGUGAACAAGUAUUUGAGUCGAUUAUUUUAUGUAUACAGGCAUUUUCAGCUAUUUUCUAAACCUACUUAUUCCUGUUAAGUGUUAGCAAGACGGGGUUGGGUUGUGUACUGUAUAUAGUAUAGUAUGUUUGUAAAGGGUUUUCUAUUGGCCACCCCUCGCUAGCUUUGUGCCCCAUGUUGGCCACCCCGGUAAAAAUAUUCUGGCUACGCCCCUGACACCUUCCACAGGAAACACAUUUUCAC
Long non-coding RNA from Fundulus heteroclitus (mummichog), 1097 nucleotides. RefSeq lists it as uncharacterized. The record is from RefSeq and is a predicted model, not a curated record. NCBI's taxonomy places the organism in Eukaryota, Metazoa, Chordata, Actinopteri, Cyprinodontiformes, Fundulidae. The transcript is spliced from 3 exons.